This 253-nucleotide ribosomal RNA is filed under the name uncultured bacterium. RNAcentral's name for it is "partial 16S ribosomal RNA". It matches the Rfam family "Bacterial small subunit ribosomal RNA", at positions 524 to 776 of the family's 1533-position model. The record is from RNAcentral.
UACGUAGGUGGCAAGCGUUGUCCGGAUUUACUGGGCGUAAAGGGCGUGCAGGCGGUUGGUUAAGUCUAGUGUGAAAGCUCCCGGCUCAACUGGGAGAGGUCCUUGGAUACUGGCAGACUUGAGGAGGGUAGAGGAGAGUGGAAUUCCCGGUGUAGUGGUGAUAUGCGUAGAUAUCGGGAGGAACACCAGUGGCGAAGGCGGCUCUCUGGGCCCUACCUGACGCUGAGACGCGAAAGCGUGGGGAGCGAACCGG